RNAcentral lists this ribosomal RNA (422 nucleotides) under uncultured bacterium. Its description in RNAcentral is "bacterial SSU rRNA". It matches the Rfam family "Bacterial small subunit ribosomal RNA", at positions 355 to 794 of the family's 1533-position model. The record is from RNAcentral.
UGGGGAAUAUUGGGCAAUGGGGGAAACCCGUGACCCAGCAACGCCGCGUGAAGGAAGAAGGUCUUCGGAUCGUAAAGCUCUGUCCUUGGGGAAGAUAAUGACGGUACCCUUGGAGGAAGCCCCGGCUAACUACGUGCCAGCAGCCGCGGUAAUACGUAGGGGGCAAGCGUUAUCCGGAAUUAUUGGGCGUAAAGAGUGCGUAGGUGGUUACCUAAGCAGGGGGUGAAAGGCAUUGGCUUAACCAAUGUUAGCCCCCUGAACUGGGCUACUUGAGUGCAGGAGAGGAAAGCGGAAUUCCUAGUGUAGCGGUGAAAUGCGUAGAUAUUAGGAGGAACACCAGUGGCGAAGGCGGCUUUCUGGACUGUUACUGACACUGAGGCACGAAAGUGUGGGGAGCAAACAGGAUUAGAUACCCUGGUAGU